CUCAGUUGGUAGAGCCCCGGAUUGUGAUUCCGGUUGUCGUGGGUUCGAGCCCCAUUAGCCACCCCA
This 66-nucleotide transfer RNA is filed under the name Vibrio cholerae HC-68A1. RNAcentral's name for it is "partial tRNA-His". It matches the Rfam family "tRNA", at positions 11 to 71 of the family's 71-position model. From Rfam's summary of the family: Transfer RNA (tRNA) molecules are approximately 80 nucleotides in length. Their secondary structure includes four short double-helical elements and three loops (D, anti-codon, and T loops). RNAcentral also lists the same sequence under 1 other name. Lineage: Bacteria; Pseudomonadati; Pseudomonadota; Gammaproteobacteria; Vibrionales; Vibrionaceae. The record is from RNAcentral.